Long non-coding RNA from Salvia miltiorrhiza (redroot sage), 1423 nucleotides. RefSeq lists it as uncharacterized. The transcript is spliced from 2 exons. The record is from RefSeq and is a predicted model, not a curated record. NCBI's taxonomy places the organism in Eukaryota, Viridiplantae, Streptophyta, Magnoliopsida, Lamiales, Lamiaceae.
UUUAAUCAUUAUAUAUGUGUUUUAAUGUGCUUAGUUAAAGGAAAAUUUUUAUAAAUGUGGUGCAUAAGUUUUAAUUGGUGAGUUAAGUGUAUUUAUAUGAGCCACAUGAAUUUUAAAUUAUGCAUGAAGUCAUGAAUUUUAUCUAAAUUUGAUAGUACAUGUAACACCCCGUACUUUUCCCUAUGUUGUGAGAUAGUGUCUUAACACUAUUGAGAAUACUGAGAUGUCAGAGAGAUUGACUGUCCUAUUAAGAAAAUAGGAAUAAUGAGUUGGAAAUAGAGUCGAGAAAGAAAGAGUGAAAAACCUUGAUAAAAAAAAACUUGAUAAAAAAAAAAUCGGUCGGAGAGACGUCUAGUUUGUCUGUGUUUACCGACUGCUUUGACGUGAUAUUAUGUGAAAUUACGUGACUGAUUGAUUAUGUGAGUUUUGUUACGUAUGUCAUUGUGAGCAAGUUAUUAUGAUUUUUAUUUGAUAACCUUAGCACUUGGAAUUUUAAUUAAGUUUUCAAAGCAAGUGCAAUUUAUUUUUACCGAGAAAUCAAAGAAUGUCGGUUUAUGAAAAUUUUUCCAAACAAAAUAUUUUCAAAUUAUUUUUCCUAUGAUGAGGAAUAUUAUAAUUGAGUGAGUGCACUAAUAUUAGUGCCAUAUUUAUUUUAAAUAUUGGUCACAAUAGUUUUGUGUUAUAGCAUUGCAUUAAUUAGUAAUUAGUCUUUUAUGAUUUUGUUAAUGUAGCUUAAUACAUGAUUUAUUCUAGACUACACAACCUUACACACACAUGAUUAUUUUAAUCUAAUAAGCAUGUGAUUAAUUUCCUUAGCCUUACUUGAAGUGGACGUGUGGUAUGAAGAUGAAGGGAAGAGAUUAGUGUAUAGGGGGACAAGUAUUAAAUGGUGAAUAGUGUUUGGUCUCCAAUCAUCCUUCCUAAGCAAGACAAAUUCACUUCAUUUCCCUCAUUUUCUUCACCAUUCGGCCACUCUCAAUUUCUCUCCCUCUCUUCCGAUUUUGCUCCAAAAGAUCACCAUAGAUGAAUCACCAAAGCUUCCAAGUUCACAUCAAGAUCAAUUCCUCCACCAAAUCAACAUAAACACCUUUCAAUUCUUGAAGAUUUCAAGAGGACCGUGGGGUUUGGUUUGAAGAGUGAGAAAGGAAAACUUUGAUUUUUGUUUAAUCUUGGGUUGAGCAGUUGAUGGAAUGGAAUGAUGUUGAGCGGGUGUUCCUGUGACAUUUCAAGAAAUGUAACCUUGAGUAUACAUCUUCAUAUGUAUAUCUCACACGUUUUCCGCUGCAAAACACUUUGAUUAGGAUAACUUUAUGUUAUGAAAUUGUGACACGUGUUAUUGGGUAACCCACCUUAAUCAAUUCUCAUUUAUGUGUAUGUUUUAUAAGUAUCCAAAUAAUCAUAUAUGAUCCUAGCAUUUUAUCUA